UGCAGUUAAUCCAAGCAGCAGGUGCUUUUUUUUCCCAGUGACCAGUCAACACUAGUCAGGUCUGUGAAGCUGGGAUCAGAGGGAACCAAAAUAUCUGUUGUUUGCACAACUCUGUGAUGGGUCAUUAAGGACCAUGCCCAGCUGCACCUGCAGGGUAUGCUCCAGCUGGAGGUGGAACUUAAAAGAGAGCCAGAAGGAGCCUGACCAGGCAGAGAGAAGGACUGGUCCUGAGUUCUCCUGGGGAAGGGAGUAGCAGAAACUUCCUGGUGAGGAAGAGCCUUCCUGCUGAAGCCAGAGGGGCUGAAGCCUAAUAUUUCACACACAAAGUUGGCAGGAAGAGGAUUAGAAGGAAUUUGUUCUGCAUUAAAGCCUGGUUGCAGGAUCUUUUCAAUAGAAGGCUUAAACUGAAUGGAGAUUUAAAUGAAAGCGUGCGUGGAACAGAGCCAAAAUCAGAGACCACUUUGUGCUAUAGGUAAGGCUGUCUUUCAGAGGCUAAAAGAAAGUAUUUGAUUGCUGCAUGUGUCAAGGAGUGAACCCACUUACCAUAACACAGUGUGGGACCAGCAGAAUCUCCCUACUGGGGUGGCAGAGCAUUAAGAACUGAAUAUUGAAACACCUGAGGCUAAAUUCAUCCCUGGUAUAACUCUGCUGAGCUCAGAAGCUUGGAAAGCAGAGCUGCAACUGGAUAGAGGGAGCAGGAAGUUUCACUGAUCUGCACGAUCCUGUCACAUAUGUUUCCACUCUGGGUAG
Mauremys mutica (yellowpond turtle) is the source of this 750-nucleotide long non-coding RNA. RefSeq lists it as uncharacterized. The transcript is spliced from 4 exons. The record is from RefSeq and is a predicted model, not a curated record. NCBI's taxonomy places the organism in Eukaryota, Metazoa, Chordata, Testudines, Geoemydidae.